GAGUCUGGCGCCCCACUAGCUGGGCAGGGCCAAGGCCAUCCAGAAAAUCACUGAAUUGGCUAUCAGAGGCCAAGCGGACACCAGGGAAAAUCAGACUAAAAGUAAAAUAACACACAGGAUUAAACCCUCCACUCCUGUUUCCAUCUAGCCCCCUUUCCGUGGCAGGAGCAGCUGGUCCCACUAUUUUGCCACUUACAUUAAUUGGAUCCCAACCUCCCCACUGCACCUCCAUGGCUCUCCCUCCUUAUCCUCUAGCAGCCCUCGUCCUGUAUUGCAAGCCUCUGUUUAUGUGCCUUUCUUUUCCUUGUCUGGAGGGCAUGAACUGUGAUUUCUAUGUAUAGCACUCAGUACACUUUGAGCACUUUUUCCAUGACAGGCAUUAGCAUACUGAAUCUCUUAGCUGCACUAUGACAGAGGUUCUAUUAUUUAACCCAUUUUAUCGAUGAAGAAAGUCUUCAGAUCAGAUCAUUCCCAUCAACACCCAAACACACUGCUAUUUCUUCCACCUUAAAAAAAUCCCUUUCCUAACCUCCUUCCCUCCCCAGCUACCACCCCGUUUCUCUCCUUGAAACUUCGUAGAGCUGUCUCUAUGUACCAUCUUCAAUUUCUUUCCUCUCAUUCUCCUUUGAAAAUCGAAUCAGUUUUUCCUUGCUCUUUUCCUCAAUUUUUCUCCACUCCACCAAAAUUUCUCUGAUCAAGGUUACCUAACAGCCACAGUGGUAAAUCUGACCGUUAAUACUCCAGACUUGUCUAAUUGAACAUAUUAGCCUCAUUUGACCCAACUGAUCCCUCCCUCUUCCUUGAAAUACUUUCUCCACUUUGCUUCCUGGACUCUCUAGCCUCCUGGUUUUCCUCUUUGGCUAUUCUUCCUCAGUCUCCUUUGCUAAUUUUGCCACUAAAUAUAGGAGGCGCCAUCUUUUGACUUCUCUUCAAGCCAUCAUUUUCUCUUUCUGUAUUGCUGCGACAGCCUUCUGAAUGAUCUCCCCAUUGCCACCUUCCUCUCCACUCCCACAGCAAUCAGAAUGAUCUGUUAAAACUGAAGCCAGAUAAUGUCAGGCCUCUGCUCACAAUCCUCCAUUGGUUUCUCAUCUCGAUCUGGGUAAAAGCAAAGUCCUUGCAAUGGUGUAUAAAGACAAUACAACCUGUCCACCCCUGCCCCCCAUAUCUUAAUUCCUAGAUUUUUACUACUCCUGCCCUCAUUCCCCGGUGCCGCCAUUCCCACUACUGAUGCCAGGUAAGCUCCAGCCUCAGCGUUGCUUCAGCCUGAAAUGUUCUUCCUUCAGACAUUCAUGUGUUCACUAACUUCCUUCAGAUUUUAAAUCAAAUGUGCCCUUUUCCCUGUCUAACCUACAUAAAACCUUACCCUUAACCUCUGCCAUCUCUUCUCUCACCUUUUUCUCCUUAGCACUUAUACCACCUAAUCUAUUAUAUAUUUUCCUAAUUUUUCUUUUAUUUGAACAAUUUUUCAAGUUCAUUGUCCAUCUUAUCUGUUAGACUGUAAGUUUGAUGAGGGUAGGGUUUUUUUCUUAUUUGUUCACUGAUAUAUAUCCAGCACUAGAACCAUGCCUGAAAUACUGUAAGUACUUGUUAAACUCAAUCAAUUAAUUAAAAUGAAUCUUAAAAAAAUUACAUAACUUGCCCAAGUUUCUAUAGCACCAAAAAACAGAUUAGAAUUUAAGCCUAUAUGAUUCUAAAGCCUAUGGUCUAACCACCAACUGAUUUUUGCUUCCUCGUAUGACAUAUAUCCCCAACUCAUAGCAAAGUGCCUAGAACACUAGAAGGUAUGGAAAUAUCUGUUGAAUGAAUUUAUGAGUAUUCAUCCCAUUUCUCCAAUAAGACUAUACACACCUGGAGCACAGGGGUCAUAGUUUGAACAUUUUUAUAUCCCUAACAGUGUCUAAUGCAGUGCUUUGCAGUGAUGAGUGCUCACUGCACAUUUCUUUUUUACUUGAUUCUCCAUCUCUUUUAAGACUUCCUUGAUUAACGUCAAAUCUAUUUCGUCCCCCAAGCUUGCUUAAUUCCCAAAUAUACAGUUAAUCUGAACAUUUUUAAUGCUUCCAUAAAUAUCCCAUAUAACCUUACUUAUAAAUGUAUGGAAACCAUAUGUAUCUCGUAUUUAUAUAACUGUGCUAUAGACAAAUGAUCCCUAGGGCAGAUCAUCAGCGCUCUGCCAGCUGCUCCUAUGGCCCCACAUCUGCGAACUGACGACACAUAUGUUUGCCUAAGCACCUGAUGCUUCCAUGGUGAUGACAGAUGAGGGCUGUACAAUCUUGACAAAUGCUUUAAAAAUAUCUCAGACACAGUGGAGUCAAGGGAAAGCUACAUGAUAACUACAUAAAGGAAAGGCUCACCAACUUUGUGGCAUUUCAUUUUGGCUGUUACAUUUAUCUGAACUCUUUGUUACUGGAUGGAACUAAGGUGAUCAGUAUUAGAAAGCAAAGAAAGCUACACAAAGGAGAGAGCCUCGCCUGAUAACACUUUCACAUCUGUUCGUCACUUUCAGAGAGGUUCUCAUAAGGAAUGCAAAACCCAGCAAUGCCAUGUGAAAAAAGAGCUUUUAAAUUUUUGGUCAUGGAUAGUCAUGUUCUUAAGGAUCUUCAACAGUCUGAAUAGGAGGUUUGCUUACGGAAGCCAAUUAGAAGACCAAACAGGAAACUGAGUCAAGUACCACGGAGGUGACAGAGGUGCGAAGUGCCAUCUGCAGAGGUCAGGGAGGAAGAGCAUCACAGAGGGAGCUGGGACGUGAGCUGGGCUUGAAAAAUGGGCAGAUGGGGAUCCAAGAAACAGUCCCAGUUAUCAAAGGCCUUGCAUGUUGGAAUGUGGAGCUGAGAGAUGACUGAAGCUGCAGCAACAGGGGGAUGGUUCAAAUUACUUGUAUUAAUUUACUUCCUGUCAGGUCUAAAUAUUUAUCCACAUUGACUAUUCAUAUCAUUAGUAUUCUGGGAUAUGGUAAGCUCUUUUAGUGCCUGGUAUUAAUAAUUUCAUUUUAGAUCAAUAAAUAUUUGGUGAUAUUGACAGUGACUUGUGGAAAUCCUUUCCAUCAAACCGCUUAUAAUAUCUGCUCACCAUUUUGAAAC
Molecule: long non-coding RNA, 3077 nt
Organism: Aethalodelphis obliquidens (Pacific white-sided dolphin)
Lineage: Eukaryota; Metazoa; Chordata; Mammalia; Artiodactyla; Delphinidae
Exons: 3
Source: RefSeq, a predicted model, not a curated record